This 450-nucleotide ribosomal RNA is filed under the name uncultured bacterium. RNAcentral describes it as "partial 16S ribosomal RNA". It matches the Rfam family "Bacterial small subunit ribosomal RNA", at positions 338 to 795 of the family's 1533-position model. The record is from RNAcentral.
CCUACGGGGGGCUGCAGUAAGGAAUAUUGGUCAAUGGACGCAAGUCUGAACCAGCCAUGCCGCGUGGAGGAUGAAGGUCCUCUGGAUUGUAAACUUCUUUUAUUUGGGAAGAAACUCCCGAUUUCCAUCGGGAUUGACGGUACCAGAUGAAUAAGCACCGGCUAACUCCGUGCCAGCAGCCGCGGUAAUACGGAGGGUGCAGGCGUUAUCGGGAUUCAAGGGGUUGAAGGUGGGCGUAGGUGGGCAUGGUGAAAUCCCCGGGCUUAACCCGGGAACUGCCAUUGAUACUGUUUGUCUUGAAUACUCUGGAGGUGAGCGGAAUAUGUCAUGUAGCGGUGAAAUGCUUAGAUAUGACAUAGAACACCCAUUGCGAAGGCAGCUCACUACGGAAAUAUUGACGCUGAGGCACGAAAGCGUGGGGAUCAAACAGGAUUAGAUACCCGAGUAGUC